This 991-nucleotide ribosomal RNA is filed under the name Klebsiella pneumoniae. RNAcentral describes it as "bacterial SSU rRNA". It matches the Rfam family "Bacterial small subunit ribosomal RNA", at positions 552 to 1533 of the family's 1533-position model. Lineage: Bacteria; Pseudomonadati; Pseudomonadota; Gammaproteobacteria; Enterobacterales; Enterobacteriaceae. The record is from RNAcentral.
UACUGGGCGUAAAGCGCACGCAGGCGGUCUGUCAAGUCGGAUGUGAAAUCCCCGGGCUCAACCUGGGAACUGCAUUCGAAACUGGCAGGCUAGAGUCUUGUAGAGGGGGGUAGAAUUCCAGGUGUAGCGGUGAAAUGCGUAGAGAUCUGGAGGAAUACCGGUGGCGAAGGCGGCCCCCUGGACAAAGACUGACGCUCAGGUGCGAAAGCGUGGGGAGCAAACAGGAUUAGAUACCCUGGUAGUCCACGCCGUAAACGAUGUCGAUUUGGAGGUUGUGCCCUUGAGGCGUGGCUUCCGGAGCUAACGCGUUAAAUCGACCGCCUGGGGAGUACGGCCGCAAGGUUAAAACUCAAAUGAAUUGACGGGGGCCCGCACAAGCGGUGGAGCAUGUGGUUUAAUUCGAUGCAACGCGAAGAACCUUACCUGGUCUUGACAUCCACAGAACUUUCCAGAGAUGGAUUGGUGCCUUCGGGAACUGUGAGACAGGUGCUGCAUGGCUGUCGUCAGCUCGUGUUGUGAAAUGUUGGGUUAAGUCCCGCAACGAGCGCAACCCUUAUCCUUUGUUGCCAGCGGUUAGGCCGGGAACUCAAAGGAGACUGCCAGUGAUAAACUGGAGGAAGGUGGGGAUGACGUCAAGUCAUCAUGGCCCUUACGACCAGGGCUACACACGUGCUACAAUGGCAUAUACAAAGAGAAGCGACCUCGCGAGAGCAAGCGGACCUCAUAAAGUAUGUCGUAGUCCGGAUUGGAGUCUGCAACUCGACUCCAUGAAGUCGGAAUCGCUAGUAAUCGUAGAUCAGAAUGCUACGGUGAAUACGUUCCCGGGCCUUGUACACACCGCCCGUCACACCAUGGGAGUGGGUUGCAAAAGAAGUAGGUAGCUUAACCUUCGGGAGGGCGCUUACCACUUUGUGAUUCAUGACUGGGGUGAAGUCGUAACAAGGUAACCGUAGGGGAACCUGCGGUUGGAUCACCUCCUUACCUUAAAGAA